GACGAACCGAGCGAACGUUGUUCGGAAUCACUGGGCUUAAAGGGCGCGUAGGCGGACUGCCGCGUCCGGGGUGAAAUCCCACGGCUCAACCGUGGAACGGCCCCGGAUACGGGCGGUCUGGAGGGGGGUAGGGGCACCUGGAACUGUGGGUGGAGCGGUGAAAUGCGUUGAUAUCCACAGGAACUCCGGUGGCGAAGGCGAGGUGCUGGACCCCACCUGACGCUGAGGCGCGAAAGCCAGGGGAGCGAACGGG
Molecule: ribosomal RNA, 253 nt
Filed under: uncultured bacterium
Lineage: Bacteria
Description: partial 16S ribosomal RNA
Rfam family: Bacterial small subunit ribosomal RNA
Source: RNAcentral